This 258-nucleotide ribosomal RNA is filed under the name Mantidactylus stelliger. RNAcentral describes it as "partial 16S ribosomal RNA". It matches the Rfam family "Bacterial large subunit ribosomal RNA", at positions 2087 to 2512 of the family's 2925-position model. Lineage: Eukaryota; Metazoa; Chordata; Amphibia; Anura; Mantellidae. The record is from RNAcentral.
GACCCCAUGGAGCUUCAAACCCAACUUCACCCCUAAUUCUUAUAACCACUAAACCCUUAGGGCCCUACAUCGUUGGUUUUAGGUUGGGGCGACCACGGAGUAUAACAAAACCUCCGCAAUGAACGGGACUCUUCCCUUAUCUAAGAGAUACACCUCUAAGAAUUAAAAUAUUAACAUAAAAUGAUCCAUCUUUGAUCAAUGAACUAAGUUACCCUGGGGAUAACAGCGCAAUCCACUUCAAGAGCCCCUAUCGACAAG